ACGCUGGCGGCGUGCCUAACACAUGCAAGUCGAACGGAGCUAUUUUGGAAGUCCUUCGGGGCGGAAGAGGUAGCUUAGUGGCGAACGGGUGAGUAACGCGUGAGCAACCUGCCUUUCAGAGGGGGACAACAGUUGGAAACGACUGCUAAUACCGCAUAAUGCAACGAAGCCGCAUGACUUUGUUGCCAAAGAUUAUUGCUGAGAGAUGGCCUCGCGUCUGAUUAGCUAGUUGGUGGGGUAACGGCCCACCAAGGCGACGAUCAGUAGCCGGUCUGAGAGGAUGAACGGCCACAUUGGGACUGAGACACGGCCCAAACUCCUACGGGAGGCAGCAGUGGGGAAUCUUCCGCAAUGGGCGCAAGCCUGACGGAGCAACGCCGCGUGAGUGAAGAAGGUUUUCGGAUCGUAAAGCUCUGUUGAGAGGGACGAGAGAUAUAAUCAGGAAAUGGGUUAUAGAGGACGGUACCUUUCGAGGAAGCCACGGCUAACUACGUG
This 495-nucleotide ribosomal RNA is filed under the name uncultured bacterium. Its description in RNAcentral is "bacterial SSU rRNA". It matches the Rfam family "Bacterial small subunit ribosomal RNA", at positions 33 to 507 of the family's 1533-position model. The record is from RNAcentral.